RNAcentral lists this ribosomal RNA (183 nucleotides) under Glomus sp. (unid). Lineage: Eukaryota; Fungi; Glomeromycota; Glomeromycetes; Glomerales; Glomeraceae. The record is from RNAcentral.
CAGUCGCGUUCUCUGGGAUUCAGCCUUGCUUUUGCUUGGUGCAUUUCCUAGUCUACGGGCCAGCAUGGAUUUCGAUCGUCAUAAAAAGGCUGGAGGGAUGUGGCUCCUUCGGGAGUGUUAUAACCUUUAGCGGAAUGUGGUGGCCGGGAUUGAGGACUGCAGCACGCCUUUGGCAGGGGUUCG